Molecule: long non-coding RNA, 1775 nt
Filed under: Equus caballus (horse)
Lineage: Eukaryota; Metazoa; Chordata; Mammalia; Perissodactyla; Equidae
Description: lncRNA (ENSECAG00000051419.1)
Source: RNAcentral
GUUAACCUGCCAACCAUUGUUAUAUAACACAGACCCUCCUCUGCCAUGUGGACAGUGCCAUCCCGUGCAACCACAGGGAGCUCACUGAGCGGGACUGAGAUGAUGGAUGCUGGUCCGGGAAAUUCUGCGCAUGCGUGGCGCCAUCCCAUGAACUCCCUUGGAAGUCGCGUCUCGUCUCUACUUCUCAGAGAUCCUGAAGAGAUUGAAAAGGAAGAGCAGGCCGCGGCUGAAACGGCUGUGGCCAGGAGGAAUUUCAGGGUGAAUGGACUGCUCCAACUCCCGAAUUUACUGCUACCCAACCAGAGGUCGCCGGCUGGUCGGAAGGUGCAGGUGUCCCCUGAGCCUGUUCAGCAGUUCCCUACUGAGUCUGACUGGUCUGCAACUGCCACUGCUCAGGCCACCAAACGGGUGGGUACAACCACUGAAUGGUCUUAGUCUGUCCUUCCACAGACUGUUCAACAGAAAAUGGAAGUAAGGUUGAUGGAAAAUAAACAGCUUCUAAGAAAAAAGAACGAAAACAGAGCGAGACUCAAACCGUGAGAGUGUCAGAAGGGAAAAUCUCAGGCCAUGAUCUUUCAACAUCAAUGAUGCUGUCAGUCAUCAUAGAGAUCCCUUUGACAAGUCAGAAACUUGCCAAAUAUUACUGUGGCCAAUGCUAUUGUGAAGGAAACAGGAAGAAACAUGAUUCUCUGUACCAAGACUACUAGCAGCUUUCUUGGAAAUGAGGUAACACUUAGAAGGUGGACCUGAGUGCUCAAGUGCCUUUAGUGGGUCUGUAGCAUUCAUUAAGCACUGACUGCAUACAAAUCCUUCAGUGGGAUAGCUGCAGCUGGAGAACCCACUGCAGACCUGAUCCAUGCAGUCUCUGCAUGAGAAGCUUAUUAUCUCAUUAAGAAGCCCUAAAACAGGGGCAUGCCCAGCGGCGCAGUGGUUAAGUGUGCAUGUUCCGCUUCGGUGGCCUGGGGUUCGCCAGUUUGGAUCCCAGAUGUGGACAUGGUACAGCUUGUCAAGCCAUGCUGUGCAGCCCAACGAAGAGAGGCAGAGCAAAAAUUCCAGAGGAGCUCAAACGAAGAUCUUGCCUGUCAAGGGAACUGCCACAGCCUCCCCUGUUUUGCCUGCCCUCUGUGAAGAAGGAGACGGAGAGAAAGAUAACCCCAGGGUGAGCAGGAGAACCACUUUGGGAAAUGUAUUCCCGCAGCACCCGGGAAGGAGCGGGCUAAUUGGCUCCAGAGGCGGCGCGGGCAGGUAGGAUCGCGCCGUCCUGUAGGAUCGCGCCGUCCUUUAUUGACUGGUGCAGUCACUUGUUGGGAACCCGUGUUCAUUAGCUGUGUGUAAAGUGAUAUUAGAGGAGAGACGCUGGGUCCUGUGCUGAAUGAUUGAGCGCCCCACCUGAUGGGAGGUGCAUUAUGUAAAAGGGCCUGCCAGAGUAAUCGAGUUACUUAAGUGGAUGUGUUGAGCGUAUCGGAGAGGGUGCUGCUGCGAGAAUGCAAGAUCAGGGACGCUGAAAUGUGAAAGGCGAUUCUACCUUGACUCUAAUAAGCCCUCAGCCUUUUGAUACCCAUUCUCCACAUCUCUCUCUAGUGACUCUGAAACUAAAGGGUCUUCCCACUUGGCCUGUGCUAAUUCUUCAGGUUUCUAUGGCAAAGGUGGGUAAGGGAGCUGCCAGGAUCUGUUUGUCCAGCAGACCCAGGAGGAAAGUGGAGAGGUCAGCUCUUCUUCCUUCAAAUCUUCCUUAGUCCUUUCUGUGACAUGAGGAAGCUCACUGGCUAGUCCCU